UACGUAGGGUGCAAGCGUUGUCCGGAAUUAUUGGGCGUAAAGAGCUCGUAGGCGGUUUGUCGCGUCGGCCGUGAAAACCUGCAGCUUAACUGUGGGCUUGCGGUCGAUACGGGCAUCACUGGAGUUCGGCAGGGGAGACUGGAAUUCCUGGUGUAGCGGUGAAAUGCGCAGAUAUCAGGAGGAACACCGGUGGCGAAGGCGGGUCUCUGGGCCGAUACUGACGCUGAGGAGCGAAAGCGUGGGGAGCGAACAGG
Molecule: ribosomal RNA, 254 nt
Filed under: uncultured bacterium
Lineage: Bacteria
Description: partial 16S ribosomal RNA
Rfam family: Bacterial small subunit ribosomal RNA
Source: RNAcentral